This 302-nucleotide non-coding RNA is filed under the name Clostridiales bacterium. RNAcentral's name for it is "T-box sequence". It matches the Rfam family "T-box leader". Rfam says of the family: Uncharged tRNA acts as the effector for transcription antitermination of genes in the T-box leader family. T-boxes are found upstream of many aminoacyl-tRNA synthetase genes and some amino acid biosynthetic genes usually in Gram-positive bacteria. The record is from RNAcentral. Lineage: Bacteria; Bacillati; Bacillota; Clostridia; Eubacteriales.
ACAAAGGCAUUGACGAGAAAGAGUAAGCAACCGUAGCUUUUACAGAGAAUCCCAUCACAAUGUGCUGAGAAUGGGUAAAGCGAAAUUUGCUGAACAUGGUCUCCGAGCCGCGCACCGAACAAUGUAGCAGGCUGCUGCAGUUAGGCUGCGACGGGAUCGCCCGUAACAGCGAUAGGGUUUCGAUGAAAUAUUUCUCGACGAUAAUUUCGUCAGAAAUUUCGUCUGUGAAUCCGAUAAGGCUUGUUCCGUGAGGAACAGGCGAAUUAGGGUGGUAACACGUGAGCAACGCUCUCGUCCCUUAG